UCUUCCUACGGGAGGCAGCAGUGGGGAAUAUUGCACAAUGGGGAAACCCUGAUGCAGCGACGCCGCGUGAAGGAUGAAGUAUUUCGGUAUGUAAACUUCUAUCAGCAGGGAAGAAAGACGGUACCUGACUAAGAAGCCCCGGCUAACUACGUGCCAGCAGCCGCGGUAAUACGUAGGGGGCAAGCGUUAUCCGGAUUUACUGGGUGUAAAGGGAGCGUAGACGGCUGUGCAAGUCUGAAGUGAAAGCCCAGGGCUCAACCCUGGGACUGCUUUGGAAACUGUGGAGCUAGAGUGCUGGAGAGGUA
Molecule: ribosomal RNA, 305 nt
Filed under: uncultured bacterium
Lineage: Bacteria
Description: bacterial SSU rRNA
Rfam family: Bacterial small subunit ribosomal RNA
Source: RNAcentral